AGUAGGGGGUAAGGUAGCUGAUCCGGCAGGAAGAGGAGAGCAGAGGCGCUCCUCUGAAUUCAUUUGGUUUUUGUUUACGCAAGAUUACCGUAGACGGGUGGAUCAGAAGAUCGAGCAGGUGCCUCAGGAAUUUUUUGAGUCAGGACGGGUAGUGGUGGUUCUUGUGUUGUUCGGAAGCCCCGGCACACAUGAUUCUAGUUGUACUAUAGAUGUACUCGUUGGAUCAGCAUUAAAUCCAUACACUGCACAAGUUGAAUAUUGUGAUUUGAGUAUCGUGAACGGUUGCGUGAGCUUACAGCCUUCUGAGCCCUUGAUGUGAACGCCGGUAGUUGUUCUCAGUUCGCUGGAGGAGGGCCUCGGAUCUUCUUCGAUCGGUCUCUCGGAUUAUUGAACGUUGGGUUGAAAUUUCUUAGGUAGGAGCCACUUGAUGUUAGCUUCCUGACAAGCUUAGGUUCAUCGUAAUCGGAGCCAAGACAAAAUUUUGGCAGAGAUUGAAUUAACGAGUGGUUUACUGGCUGGGCAUUUUGGAUCAACGGCUGGAAUGCCAUGAAUUUUUGAGCUGAUGAAGCCGGUUAAACUCUGGUUCCAACAAGCUAAAGGUCAUCGAGAUCGUAGUACUGAGGAACUCAAGCGACUGCUGGGGGAAGCGAGGUUCCCAAGCUUGGGCUGUCGUAUCCUGUUUGACGAGGUGGAUUAUUAGUUAAGUGGCUGAAUUUGACAAAAAAGAAGAGAAAGCAGUAAAUUUUUAAGGCAAAGCAUGAUAAGCCGCAAAAGAUUGAGCUCAAGUACAACAAGUGUUGAACACUUGCUGGUAACAUUACAAAUAGUAUAUACAUCAACAAGGUGCAUGUGGAAUACGAAUCCCAAUAAUUAAAUUGUUGUAGAAACAAAUUCCCACCGUCCACCACCGUCCAGUGCCUUUCAUUCACUGAUGCACUAAUCAAGGAACCACAACGCAAUUCGAAAAGAACACAAAACUUUAAAAUUUAAUAUAACCGGAAAGAGAGGGAGGAGAGACGGCACGAGAGAGAGAGAGAAAGAAGAAUCAUCAAUGCCCCACUAAAAGUUCAUAGACAACUAUGACUUCAAAUUGAGAGAGGUCAGAUUGUUGCGGCCAAGACGAGCCUCUCGUAUGUUGCAUGAGAAAGAGACAUUCAAUGUAGUGAGAUGAAGACGUGGGAUAUCCAACGCAAUUCAAGGUCUGAAGUAACCGAGCUAGUCCAGUCAUCGGUGCAAAAGUCGGCGGAUACGAGCUGACAUUUUCAGAGACCCAUUAUUCCUCAUCUGUAACAUGUUCAUCUUGUGGCUCAAAAGGCCCUUUUAGUCUUUAGAAAGAGGGUUGGCACUUACAUCGUUAGCUCCUGCUUGCUGGUCUUGGGAAGUUACAACUCGUGUUCUCCUUUUUGUGAGGUGGAACCUCGUUCAGCAUUUCAGGAAGAACAUUGUCUUGACGAGGUUCACGGUCCAUUAGAUUACUCUGAUCUACGAUAGAAUCAGAGCAG
RNAcentral lists this long non-coding RNA (1502 nucleotides) under Physcomitrium patens. RNAcentral describes it as "long non-coding RNA (PPAT_LNC009595)". The record is from RNAcentral. Lineage: Eukaryota; Viridiplantae; Streptophyta; Bryopsida; Funariales; Funariaceae.